Molecule: long non-coding RNA, 830 nt
Filed under: Cucumis sativus (cucumber)
Lineage: Eukaryota; Viridiplantae; Streptophyta; Magnoliopsida; Cucurbitales; Cucurbitaceae
Description: long non-coding RNA (CSAT_LNC001540)
Source: RNAcentral
AUAAGAAGGGUGAGUAUAAAAAUACCCAGUAAGAGACCCUCUACUGGUCCCGUCAGGGGAAAAAUAAAUUGUUAACAUUCUAUUGGGACACCCUGUACAGUCGCAGUCUUGUGAUCCCGUAGGAUGCACAUUUCAGUCUAACGCCCGAGGGACGUACAUUUCAGUGUAGUGUUCUGCAGAAACACAUAUCAGUCUAAUGCUCCAGAAGGUGCAGAAUAAUUGGUGAUCCCGUGGGACACCUACAAGGCACACAUCCCAAUAAAAGCUAACAAUUUUUCCCCUCAAUCCAUUCGUACCAUCUUUCAGUUACUUCAAAAUAUAAAGUUCUUUCACUCAACGUUCUAACAGUCAACUUAUCUCACUUUAGCCCAAUGUCUGUCAGUAACAUACUAAUACGUCAGUCAAUUAAACUAUAUAGUCAUAACGCCUCUCAGUUCACCAGCACACAGUCAUACUUUAGUAUAACGUACACCCAGUCUAAACGACAAUCACAAGUUCACAUCCGCAUCUCAUACAAACACAAUCUACAAUUGUCGUCCUGUCUACAUCCACACACACAUAUAUAUAUUCCAAGACAAUCACAAUAUGCAUUCAACAUCAAGUCUACUUCAAUCCAUGUGUAUAUAUAUAUUUUCAGUCAUCCACAGUAUACAUUCAACACCAAACCUACAUCCAUACGUAUAUAUAUAUUGUCUCAACACAUUUACUCAAUCAGAGGUGACUAACAUUACAAUUCAAAAGCAUAGGUGAGUCCAGUAGAAAAUAAAAUCCUUACCUCACUUUUAUGCAAGUUCUUCAAUCUACUAAAUCCAAUGAAUCAAAUCCUAAAC